CGUGCUUAGGGAGAAGCACAACUGCCAGGAUGGUGGUUAGGGACGCUGUAAGGAAACAGUUCAUCAGGAUGAUGAAAGGAAAAAGGGAAUAGGGACAAAAGAGUGGGCGGGUUAAACCGCCCCUUUUUUU
Molecule: small RNA, 130 nt
Filed under: Pseudomonas sp. TTU2014-080ASC
Lineage: Bacteria; Pseudomonadati; Pseudomonadota; Gammaproteobacteria; Pseudomonadales; Pseudomonadaceae
Source: RNAcentral